CCGCAAGGUUAAAACUCAAAUGAAUUGACGGGGGCCCGCACAAGCGGUGGAGCAUGUGGUUUAAUUCGAUGCAACGCGAAGAACCUUACCUGGUCUUGACAUCCACAGAAGAAUCCAGAGAUGGAUUGGUGCCUUCGGGAACUGUGAGACAGGUGCUGCAUGGCUGUCGUCAGCUCGUGUUGUGAAAUGUUGGGUUAAGUCCCGCAACGAGCGCAACCCUUAUCCUUUGUUGCCAGCGAU
RNAcentral lists this ribosomal RNA (240 nucleotides) under Salmonella enterica subsp. enterica serovar Enteritidis. RNAcentral describes it as "partial 16S ribosomal RNA". It matches the Rfam family "Bacterial small subunit ribosomal RNA", at positions 886 to 1125 of the family's 1533-position model. Lineage: Bacteria; Pseudomonadati; Pseudomonadota; Gammaproteobacteria; Enterobacterales; Enterobacteriaceae. The record is from RNAcentral.